GUCAUUGCCGUGGGCUAGCCAAGUGGUUUCCCUGGUAUUAAUACCGUUGAGAAAAUCUGUCUUUCAAGUUUUAGCUAAGUUAGAAUAGAUCUCGACUAAAAUUACUUGCUUGUAGAAGCUAGCCUAGAUCUAUAGUCAACUAAGUUCUUGAUCCUAAAUCUACAACCGAAUCAGUGUAAAUUUUAUUUUAAAUACGGUAAUAAUUAUAAUAGAUCAACAAUCUAGAUCUAUUUAGAAUCAUCAGGUAGAAUGCUACUUCGUGUUCUCAAACAGCACUAGGGAGUUCUUCUUGGAGUUGUUACCUUUUAUACGUGCACCUAAUCUUGCAGAUUUGUCUGGAUCAACAAUAUCAUUUUUUUCCACAGCGUUGAAAGCAUUUUGAAUGGAUGUCUAGAUCAAUAAGGGAUGUGGAACGAGAUACAUACAAUGCAGUGAAGAUGGAAGAGCAACAUGUUGGAGAUUUAAUAAAAAAAAAACAAUUCGUAAAAUAGUUCUUCAGUCAGUCUGACGCCGGACAGACAUAACAAACAUCAUGAGAAUCCGAUCAAAAGACAUUCAAUUAAAAAAAAAGAUUGCAGUCACUGAUAACAAAUUUUUCUUAAACACAGAAAUGAUCAGCUCACAUUUUUUAGAGCAACUUCAACAAAAAAAAGUUAAUAGAAUAUACGAUUGAGUUUCCAUAGAAACAUCUUUUUACUGCAUAACUGAUAAAAUCAGUCUUUUCCUGGCACACUACAUCUGCUUCAGUAGUAAGACACAACAAUGUCAUACAAGAUGUGUAACACUGAGUGAAGAAUGAGAGUACACUGAUGAAAAAAAAGUGAUCUCACAAGACAAUGAUGAUAGAUGAUGGUGGUGACAUGAUAUUUUACCUAGAAAUCCAUGAUGAAGUUCAUCUGUGAUCAAAAAUGGGAUAGGAUUUUACUCAUAUUGUGUUAUUCAACGGUUCAACGGUCAACUCCUCCAAUUUCAAUCUGAACCUUGACAUGUAAGAAGUUUUAUUAUAUGUAUUUACUUGUAUCUUUAAUUUAAUCCACUAAUUCUUUGUAGAAUAAAAAUUUAGUCUUAGCUACUGAUAUUCAUUUUAAACCGACACUAAAAUUAAACAGGUGACACUAAACAUCACACAACUUUUUUUUGAAUAAAGAUAUUUAUUUAUUUAAUAACAACCUAAGACAACUUUCACUACCUGCUGUUAUUUGAUUCUUACUAAAUGAAUUAAAUAUUUUUUAAUAAUUGUUUUUUUCUGAAGAGACAUGUUUAUCCAUUGAAAUUAUCACAUCCUGUCUUCAAACCAUCAUUCACUCUAUACCACAGUUUAGCCAAAAACAUACUUCAAGCUUUUAAAUAAAAUAAAUAGUUAAGAGGCAAGGUAUGGGAUAUAGAUACACCAAUAAAAAAAAUGACAUUGAAAAGGGAGAUAAAAGGGGAAAAACCAACACUACCAAACGAUCACAAGAGUAGCCUUCUCCCAAAACAAAGUUGAUAAGGAAUGGAUUAAUUUUUUUUUUUUAAAUUAUAAAAUUUAAACACAAAAGUAAAGUCACACUUCUUGUAUUUCAUGUUUAUUACUUUUGAUAAAUAAAAAAAAAAGAAGAAUAACAUGUACAAGCAGGUAGGUAUAAGAAAAAGAAGAGUAAAGUGGGGAUUUUUUUUCUAUAAGAAAUCCAAAAUGCAAGUUGCUGUUCUAUAUAAAUUCCACUGCCCUUGCAAUAUGUUUAUUUUAGAGAAAAUAUUUGAUACAAGUUCAACCAUUAGAAGGUAACUAUGAACAUUAUUGUUAGAGCCUUUACCUUCACUUAUUCCUUAUGAUGGCAACAAUAGCCAGCAAGACAACAACUUACAAUGUGUUUGAAAGAAAUGACAAAUGGGACUUUCAUUUGACAAAAAAUGUUUUCUUAAGACUUAGAUUUGCCUUCAUGCAUAAACUUUAUCUUGAAAAAUACUUGCAAUACUCAAGUACUUAUUUAUUAUAUUAUCUUUUUUUAAUAAGAUCAUGAAAAUUCAAAAUUAUUUUUUUUACGCUCAAAUGACUGAUGCCAAUUAAAAAAAAAAAAAAUUCUUUGGUAUUUCUUGCUUUAACUUUUGCUUUUAACAUUUGUACUUAUCACAUCAUUUCAUAUAAAUAAGCAAUAUUAUUGUAUUUUUGUGCUGUAAGUUCUUGCUCUUCAUGUUUCUUAAGAGUUUAAUUAUGUAAGCAAUAAAAGGCAAGAAAACAACAACACAUACAACAAUCAAAAAGUCUAUUAGCUUCAGGUAAUAUAAAGAAAUAAAAAUGUGUGGGAUUGAAAACAUGCUGUAAUAGUAUCCACCCUGGAUCCUUCAUAACUUCACAACAAAGCUAGACAAUAACUUGCCACAAACUUAAAAAAAAAAAGGAACAAAAGAAAAGGUUGACAUAUAAGAGAAAACCUACCUGGCCGAGGAUCCAUGCUGUUAGGCAUAGGCAUUUGUCCACCCCCUGGUCCUGGAGGCUACAAAAAAAAUAUAAAAAAUGUCAAAGUGAAAAACAACUGAAAAACACUUCCUCCAUGUUUAUUGUCCAAGGACCACCUUCCAAUAAACUCUCCAUAAUUCAGGAGGUAAGUUAAAAUGACUUUUUCCUGAUUUCACACACCAAAUCUCCCACUUCUAAAAAUACAUUUAGCAAUGUAACAGAUACUAAACUAAGUUUCCUAUAUAGCAAAAUAAAAAAAAAUGUAUUUAUUACUAAUAUGCUUUCAAGAUGAAAAUUUAUCUUUAUCAUAGAUUUUGAUAUUAAGCUAGUUUGCAGUGCUUUUUUUUGUCUAACUUUAAAUUAUCUAAAAUUUUGAUUUAUAAAAACUAUUACUGCCUACAAAAGUUUAAAUAACAAAAACAAUUAUUAAACUUUACAAAGUACAAUAUGGUUUAGAAUGAUAUAGUUCUACAAUUUUUAUUGAUAUAUUUUGCUAGUUACUUCUCUUUAAAAAUUUUUUUUUUUAGCAAUUUAAACAUUGCUAUGUAAACUGAUCAGAGAUCAUCACUGAUCAAAUACAAAACCAGACAAAUAAUAUUGCAAUUAGGAUUUAGAAGUGUUAGGUGAGAUUUAAAAAAAUAUUUGCUUCAUAAUAAUUAAAUGAAUAGGGUCAAAUUAUUAUUGACAGGCUAAUAAUGUUUUACAAAAAUUUUUGUAAUAAAAUUUUAGAUUUAAGUGCUAGACCUAAAACAAAAAAAUUUAGUAAUGGUUUGAUUUUUUUUUAUAUCUAUCAUCACUAUGGGGAUUCUGUGAUAGUAUUUCAUUUAUUUAACUAAAUAGGUUUGUAUUUAUCAUUUUAAUUAUAUAUCAUUGUUGUCUAUCUAC
Molecule: long non-coding RNA, 3322 nt
Organism: Biomphalaria glabrata
Lineage: Eukaryota; Metazoa; Mollusca; Gastropoda; Planorbidae
Exons: 5
Source: RefSeq, a predicted model, not a curated record